ACCCGCUGAACUUAAGCAUAUCAAUAAGCGGAGGAAAAGAAACUAACAAGGAUUCCCCUAGUAACUGCGAGUGAAGCGGGAAAAGCUCAAAUUUAAAAUCUGGUAGUCUUUGGCUGCCCGAGUUGUAAUCUAGAGAAGCGUUAUCCGCGUUGGACCGUGUAUAAGUCUCCUGGAAUGGAGCGUCAUAGAGGGUGAGAAUCCCGUCUUUGACACGGACUACCAGGGCUUUGUGAUGCGCUCUCAAAGAGUCGAGUUGUUUGGGAAUGCAGCUCUAAAUGGGUGGUAAAUUCCAUCUAAAGCUAAAUAUUGGCGAGAGACCGAUAGCGAACAAGUACCGUGAGGGAAAGAUGAAAAGAACUUUGGAAAGAGAGUUAAACAGUACGUGAAAUUGUUGAAAGGGAAACGCUUGAAGUCAGUCGCGUUGACCAGGGAUCAACCUUGCUUUUGCUUGGUGUACUUCCUGAUUAACGGGUCAGCAUCAAUUUUGACCAGUGGAAAAAGUUCGAGGGAAUGUGGCAUCUUCGGAUGUGUUAUAGCCCUUGGUCGUAUACAUUGGUUGGGAUUGAGGAACUCAGCACGCCGCAAGGCCGGGUUUUAACCACGUUCGUGCUUAGGAUGCUGGCAUAAUGGCUUUAAUCGACCCGUCUUGAAACACGG
RNAcentral lists this ribosomal RNA (657 nucleotides) under uncultured fungus. RNAcentral describes it as "LSU rRNA". It matches the Rfam family "Eukaryotic large subunit ribosomal RNA", at positions 23 to 664 of the family's 3401-position model. The record is from RNAcentral. Lineage: Eukaryota; Fungi.